Neofelis nebulosa (Clouded leopard) is the source of this 1909-nucleotide long non-coding RNA. RefSeq lists it as uncharacterized. NCBI's taxonomy places the organism in Eukaryota, Metazoa, Chordata, Mammalia, Carnivora, Felidae. The record is from RefSeq and is a predicted model, not a curated record. The transcript has 3 exons.
GCCUCAUUAAUCCCAGUGAGCGGAUGAUCUAUUGUUUCCAGCUCAGGUCUCCGGUGGAUCGGCCUUCCUCUGCAGAGGCGGGAACCCCAUGCACGCACAGGGGCCGCCCAUCCCCUUCUCUCCUGUGCUUGACCUGCCAAGACUUGGUGAUGGGACCCCUGGUGGGGCUCUUGGCCCAGGUGAGCCACGGACUGAGUCCAGGACCAGUCCUCCACGGUGACCAUUGCUCCCCUACCCCAUGGGCAAAGUUGAAAAGCUGCAUUAUGUCCUGUGCUGCGGGGAAAGCGGCACUCAACGCGCUGUUGGCGGAGAGCUCUCUCCUGGACCUUGGAAUUGGGAAGGCAGGGCCAGGAAGCCAAGGCCGAGAAGAACUCGCUGGGCUUGGGCUGCAGCCUUGAAAUGGGAAGCUCCGAAAGCAGAGGGUUUUUUUUUUCUUCUGGAGCCUCCUUGGAAGCUUUGAGGUCAUUAUGGAUUGCAAGGAGAGAGAGAGAGACAGAGCAUGAGCGGGGGGAGGAGCAGAGAGAGAGGGAGACCCAGAAUUCGAAGCAGGCUCUAGGCUCUAUGCUGUCAGCACAGAGCCCGACGCGGGGUUCGAGCUCACGGACCGUGAGAUCAUGACCCGAGCCGAAGUCGGAAGCUUAAACGACUGAGCCACCCAGGCGCGCCUGAAACUUUUAAUUGAAGUAUAAUCUAUACACAGAAAAGUGUACAAGUCAUGAGGAUACAGGUCAAUGGAUCUUUGGGAAGUAAGCACAUCCAUAUACACGGCACUCAGAGUAAGAAACAUAACAUAAAAAAAAAAGUAAAAGUACCAGCAGACCAUUUUUAUGCCUCCUUUUUUUUUUUUUUAAUUUAUUUACCAUUUUUUUUAAAGUAGGCUCCAAGCCCAGCAUAGAACCCAACAUAGGGCUUGAACUUACGGCCCUGAAAUCAAGACCUGAACUCAGAGCGGGAGUUGUACACCUAAGCGACUGAGCCACCCAGGCGCCCCUGUGCCUCCUUCUGGUCACUCGCUGCCCCUGGCGACCCCCAUCCUGGUUUUAACAACUGCCUACUAGUUUUUCAUGUGCUUUAACUUUGUGUAAAUGAAACAACAUAUUCGAAUUCUAUUCAGCAUCGCAUUUGUGAGGCUUCUGCAGGUCGCAUCGUUUGUAUGUAUUUUUGUUGAUUUGCUUGUUGACUUCCGUUGCCAAGUUGUUUGGAUAGUUCAUUGGUUCUCCCUGCUGUAUAACAUUCCAUCGCACACAUAUAUCUAUUCCCCCAUUAACGGACGUUUCUGGUGAUCCCAGUUUGGGCUGAAAUGAGCAGGGCCGCCAAGAACACUUUGUGUACGUUCCUUUAUGAGACAGCCCCAUUCCAACGACAGCAACCCUCACGAAGUGGGCAGUGGCUUUACAAUUUCCUGUAAAGACACCAUGGAUGGAAGAUAAUCCUCAUGGAUGCAAGCUCCAGCAAAUGGCUAGAAGAUGGCAAAGCCUGAGACUUCUCCACAUAGGAGGGGUGGGUCAAUAGCAAUGGUUCAGUCAGCUCCCGUGUGACAUUGGACAAAAAAGGAGGAAAUCUGAAGAAGUCUCUGCUGGGUGGAUCUCCACACCUGACGAGUAACGAUGAGCCUUGACACCUUCGCUGACGAGGGUGUGAAGUGUCUGCAGUGAGCAAGUGUGGAUGUCAUCGGAGCCACAGCACCAGAUAUCUGUGAGCCUCUACUCGGCACAGGGCGGGAUGGACUCCUUGGCCGGGUUGGAGUUGAGUGUGGCCAUGUGACUUGUUUUGGCUAUUGAAAUCUGAGCAGACGUGACCUCCAAACAGAAGCCUUGAGUGCCGGUGUGCGAUUGAUCACGUUCUCUUUUCCUUUUGCCACAAGGGCUGAGAAUAUUCCGGAAGGAAGCGGCUUGGUCAGGCUGGAUCC